Molecule: ribosomal RNA, 439 nt
Filed under: uncultured bacterium
Lineage: Bacteria
Description: partial 16S ribosomal RNA
Rfam family: Bacterial small subunit ribosomal RNA
Source: RNAcentral
CUACGGGCCGCUGCAGUGGGGAAUAUUGCACAAUGGAGGAAACUCUGAUGCAGCAACGCCGCGUGGAGGAUGACACUUUUCGGAGCGUAAACUCCUUUUAUAUAGGAAGAUAAUGACGGUACUAUAUGAAUAAGCACCGGCUAACUCCGUGCCAGCAGCCGCGGUAAUACGGAGGGUGCAAGCGUUACUCGGAAUCACUGGGCGUAAAGAGCGUGUAGGCGGAUUAAUAAGUCAGAUGUGAAAGCCAAUGGCUCAACCAUUGAACUGCAUUUGAAACUGUUAAUCUAGAAUAUGGGAGAGGUAGAUGGAAUUUCUGGUGUAGGGGUAAAAUCCGUAGAGAUCAGAAGGAAUACCGAUUGCGAAGGCGAUCUACUGGAACAUUAUUGACGCUGAGACGCGAAAGCGUGGGGAGCAAACAGGAUUAGAUACCCUAGUAGUC